UACGAAGGGUGCAAGCGUUACUCGGAAUUACUGGGCGUAAAGGGUGCGUAGGUGGUUUUUUAAGUCUGCUGUGAAAUCCCCGGGCUCAACCUGGGAAUGGCAGUGGAUACUGGAAAGCUGGAGUGCGGUAGAGGGUAGUGGAAUUCCCGGUGUAGCAGUGAAAUGCGUAGAGAUCGGGAGGAACACCAGUGGCGAAGGCGGCUACCUGGACCAGCACUGACACUGAGGCACGAAAGCGUGGGGAGCAAACAGG
This 253-nucleotide ribosomal RNA is filed under the name Rudaea sp. RNAcentral describes it as "partial 16S ribosomal RNA". It matches the Rfam family "Bacterial small subunit ribosomal RNA", at positions 524 to 776 of the family's 1533-position model. Lineage: Bacteria; Pseudomonadati; Pseudomonadota; Gammaproteobacteria; Lysobacterales; Rhodanobacteraceae. RNAcentral also lists the same sequence under 1 other name. The record is from RNAcentral.